This 261-nucleotide ribosomal RNA is filed under the name uncultured prokaryote. Its description in RNAcentral is "partial 16S ribosomal RNA". It matches the Rfam family "Bacterial small subunit ribosomal RNA", at positions 524 to 784 of the family's 1533-position model. The record is from RNAcentral.
CACGUAGGGGGCGAGCGUUGUCCGGAAUUACUGGGCGUAAAGGGCGCGCAGGCUGUUAUGCGAGUCUGCUGUGAAAUGUACCGGCUCAACCGGUGCCUUGCGGCGGAUACUGCAUAGCUGGAGUACUGGAGAGGGAAGUGGAAUUCCCGGUGUAGCGGUGAAAUGCGUAGAUAUCAGGAGGAACACCGGUGGCGAAGGCGGCUUUCUGGCCAGUUACUGACGCUCAUGCGCGAAAGCUGGGGUAGCGAACCGGAUUAGAUA